This 67-nucleotide transfer RNA is filed under the name Plautia stali. RNAcentral describes it as "tRNA-Ile". Lineage: Eukaryota; Metazoa; Arthropoda; Insecta; Hemiptera; Pentatomidae. The record is from RNAcentral. RNAcentral also lists the same sequence under 1 other name.
AAUAAGAUGCCUGACAAAAAGGACUAUUUUGAUAGAAUAGAACAUGUAUAUAUAUAUACUCUUAUUA